Molecule: unclassified non-coding RNA, 148 nt
Organism: Pongo abelii (Sumatran orangutan)
Lineage: Eukaryota; Metazoa; Chordata; Mammalia; Primates; Hominidae
Rfam family: Metazoan signal recognition particle RNA
About the family: The signal recognition particle (SRP) is a universally conserved ribonucleoprotein. It is involved in the co-translational targeting of proteins to membranes. The eukaryotic SRP consists of a 300-nucleotide 7S RNA and six proteins: SRPs 72, 68, 54, 19, 14, and 9.
Source: Ensembl
GCUGGGCGUGGUGGCACAUGCCUGUAAUCCAAGCUACUCAGGAGGCUGAGGCAGGAGAAUUUCUUGAGCCCAGGAGAUGGAGGUUGCAGUGAGCUGAGAUCAUGUCACUGCACUCCAGCCUGGGCAACAGAGAGAGACUCUGUCUCAA